Molecule: ribosomal RNA, 368 nt
Filed under: uncultured Glomeromycotina
Lineage: Eukaryota; Fungi; Glomeromycota
Description: LSU rRNA
Source: RNAcentral
UUGAAAGGGAAACGAUUGAAGUCAGUCGUACCGACGAGGAAUCAACCUUUUGAGGGUGGAUAUGUGGGAUUCAAAGUGCCUUUGUUUUUCGCAACAUCAGCUUUUUUUGGGUGCACUUUCUCGUAUGGUUGGUCAGCAUCGGUUUUGAUCGUUAUAAAAUGACAGGAGGAAUGUAGCUUCGAUCUCGUAUUGAAGUGUUAUAGCCUUUGGUAGAUGUAACGGUUAGGAUCGAGGAUUGCAACGGAUACCCUCAUGGGCUACCCGCCUGGUCUCUGAUUUGUCAUUCUGGUGCCGAAAGCUUGCUUAUGGUAUUAAAGUGUACGGUCAAAAGGUUAGAACGGGAUAAAUUCGUUAAGGAUGUUGACGUA